AUACUUACCUGGUAGGGGAAAUACCAUGAUCACAAAGUAGCCCUUCUAGAACAAUUCUUAUCCAUUGCACUCCAGAUGUGCUGAGCUGAUUCCUGUAAUUUCCCCAAAUGCAGGAAACUCGGUUGCAGGAAAGAAAAGAAAAAGAUCUCUUAUUGUUCUUGC
Molecule: small nuclear RNA, 162 nt
Organism: Onychomys torridus (southern grasshopper mouse)
Lineage: Eukaryota; Metazoa; Chordata; Mammalia; Rodentia; Cricetidae
Product: U1 spliceosomal RNA
Exons: 1
Source: RefSeq, a predicted model, not a curated record